AUCUGUUUGAUUGUUCAUGGUAGGAUCA
This 28-nucleotide non-coding RNA is filed under the name Mus musculus (house mouse). The record is from RNAcentral. Lineage: Eukaryota; Metazoa; Chordata; Mammalia; Rodentia; Muridae.